Molecule: non-coding RNA, 3496 nt
Organism: Macaca mulatta (Rhesus monkey)
Lineage: Eukaryota; Metazoa; Chordata; Mammalia; Primates; Cercopithecidae
Source: RefSeq, a predicted model, not a curated record
GAUCCCUACCAUGGAGAAGACCAUCGAAGAUCCCCCCACAUCAGCUGUCUUGCUGGAUCACUGUCAUUUCUCUCAGGUCAUCUUUAACAGUGUGGAGAAGUUCUACAUCCCUGGAGGGGACGUCACAUGUCGUUAUACCUUCACCCAGAAUUUCAUCCCUCGUCAAAAGGAUUGGAUUGGCAUCUUUAGAGUGGGAUGGAAGACAGUCCGUGAGUAUUACACCUUCAUGUGGGUUACUUUGCCCAUUGACCUAAACAACAAAUCAGCUAAACAGCAGGAAGUCCAAUUCAAAGCUUACUACCUGCCCAAGGAUGAUGAGUAUUACCAGUUCUGCUAUGUGGAUCAGGAUGGCGUGGUCCGGGGAGCAAGUAUUCCUUUCCAGUUCCGUCCAGAAAAUGAGGAAGACAUCCUGGUUGUUACCACUCAGGGAGAGGUAGAAGAGAUUGAGCAGCACAACAAGGAGCUUUGCAAAGAAAACCAGGAGCUGAAGGAUAGCUGUGUCAGCCUCCAGAAGCAGAACUCAGACAUGCAGGCUGAGCUCCAAAAGAAGCAGGAGGAGCUAGAAACCCUACAGAGCAUCAAUAAGAAGUUGGAACUGAAAGUGAAAGAACAGAAGGACUAUUGGGAGACAGAGUUGCUUCAACUGAAAGAACAAAACCAGAAGAUGUCCUCAGAAAAUGAGAAGAUGGGAAUCAGAGUGGAUCAGCUUCAGGCCCAGUUGUCAACUCAAGAGAAAGAAAUGGAGAAGCUUGUUCAGGGAGAUCAAGAUAAGACAGAGCAGUUAGAGCACCUGAAAAAGGAAAAUGGCCACCUCUUUCUCAGUUUAACUGAACAGAGGAAGGACCAGAAGAAGCUCGAGCAGACAGUGGAGGAAAUGAAGCAGAAUGAAACUACGGCAAUGAAGAAACAACAGGAAUUAAUGGAGCCUAGGAACAAGAAAGCGGCACUAACUGUGGAGGAGCAGUUAGCACGAGAGGUGGAACGCCUUAAGGCAAAGGUAGAGGCCGGGAAAGCCUGUUUCUUAGAGAAGUACAAAGAGUGUCAACGACUUCACAAACAGAUCAGGCAACUCAGGGCGGCUGCACUGGAAGUGAAGCAGGACCAGAAGAGCCAGCAGGAGCCAAUGGGGAUGGGAAGCAAGGAGCCUGCAGUCAGCACUGUCACCGGGAUGAAAACUUUGACCUGUCAAGAAGACUGAGUGAGAAGAAAAUGAUAUAUAAUGCUCUGCAGAGAGAGAAAGAGAGAUUGGAAGGAGAAAAUGAUGAGCAGAAGUGGUGGUCUGUACCAGUGCUGGACCCAUGCUUUUGAAGAGGGAGAACAGCAGAUUGCUCAGUUACAUGGGUCUGGAUUUUAAUUCUUUGCCGUAUCAAGUACCUACUUCAGAUGAAGGAGGCGCAGGACAAAAUCCAGGACUUGUCUAUGGAAACCCGUAUUCUGGUAUCCAAGAAAGUUCUUCCCCCAGCCAGCUCUCCAUCAAGAAAUGCCCUAUCUGCAAAGCAGAUGAUAUUUGUGAUCACACCUUGGAGCAACAGCAGAUGCAGGCCCUUUGUUUGAAUUGUCCAAUUUGUGACAAGAUCUUCCCAGCUACAGAGAAGCAGAUCUUUGAAGACCAUGUGUUCUGCCACUCUCUCUGAGUGUCCCAACCUCCUGGAUGUAUACAGAGAUUUUAUAGAGUAGAACCUGUAGCUUCUGCCAUGAGUUAUAUGAGUCUAGAUCCUGCCUAACCCGAAAUUAUUAGGGAUUUACUCAGCCCUGCUGCCACUAACAGCGGAGUUGUGUCACUGAUCUGAAGGUCACUGUUAAGGACUUCUGCUGCCAUCCUUGUGGGUUGCUACCUUUAAGUCACAUAACUCUAGCUGUAUCAUCCUCUCACCUAUCAUUCUUCCGAGGGUCUCAGUACAAGGGCCCUGGGAUGGAGCCAACCUGGGUAUUCACAACAGGCCUGACUUGAUACUAAGUGAUUGGUUUUCCUAGUUGUCCCACUGCCAUUCAAAGUCAGCCCUUGAGUGUAUUUGUUCUCAGUCCUAACCCUGGGGCCAGAGAUUGGUCCGAGGUUGAGAAUUCUUCCACCUCAUCCUCGGUGUUGCUUUCUCCAAAUGAUUGCGUUAGACUAGCCAAAAAUGCCAUGGCAAAGAGCUCAGAAGUCCAGUUUGGAUACCAAAGGUUUCUCAUGUUAAUUUCUCAGCCCCCAAAGAAGCAUCUUACUCCUGAACCUUAGACAGGAAGUAUUAUUUCAGUCACAGGAAGCUUUUCUGGGUACCUCUGGUUAGCACUUUCUACUCUCUGAUAUUUCCUAUGUACAUAGCUUGUAUUGUUGUAAAUCCUUUCUUAAUGGUUAAAUACGGAUUGUUAGCAACUCUGGAUUUGCAGUUUUCUGAAUAGGUGAGUUUUGAAUAUGGAUAAGUCAGAAUAAUGAGACAACUUGUUAAUCUCUUUAAUACUAAAAAUAAAUUACUCUUCUAUUUCAGGGACUUAGGUAAUUUAAAGUAAACCUUCAGUUUAUAGUCUUUUAUUUUGAAGCUCAUGGGAAAACUGUGAUCAAAAGGACUAUGGGAAGGACAGACCCCACGAAUGAUUUCUCUUCACCUUUCUUAAGUAUUAAACAAAAAAGAGUGUCCUAGUGUCCUGGCAGUUAUCUUGAGGUGGGGAAGGAGGUGAUGAAACAUUAAUUUGUGAAAUCCAAGGCCCUGGCUUCUUUUUUUUUUUUUUUGAAACAGAGUCUCGCUCUGUUACCCAGGCUGGAGUGCAGUGGCGCGGUUAGCUCACUACAGCCUCCACCUCCCAGGUUCAAGCGAUUCUCAUGCCUUAGCUUCCCAAGUAACUGGGAUUACAGGUGUGUGCCACCAUGCCCAGCUAAUUUUUGUAUUUUUAGUGGAGACAGGGUUUCACUAUGUUGGCCAGGCUGGUCUCAAACUCCUGGCCUCAUGUGGUCCGUCCACUUCAGCCCUUCAAAAUGCUGGGAUUACAAGCGUGAGCCACAUGCCCAGCCUGAGGCCCUGACUUCUUGCUGUAACUUUUCAUGCAUUUUUUUUUUAAAGGAGCAGUGUGGAUUUUGGCACCCUUUGUGAACUAAGUUCAAUACCCUCUAUCCACAUUUGCCUAAUUGAACUAUAAGAAAGCAAUAAUUCCAUUUUCUGUCCCCUCAAGGACUGAACAAAUGGAAAUAACUCCCAGGAAGUAUCAGCUGGUCACUACAGAGACUUGUACAAAAACUUUUGAAUGAUGUGAAACACGUUGUCAUGAAUAAGGGUUGAGCCAACUAUAGCCCUGUGUUCCUACUGGGCUUUCCCCAACAUGGUUGGGAGUUAUGCCCUAGACUAACUGUAUUGUCCUAGUCACAGCUCCUUGCUUUGAUUUCAUCCUUGAUAAAAUGAAGAUGAAACUUAUACUACUUCUCCAGGCCUUUUGCUGCCUUAAGAAUGAGACCUGACAUUAACACUAACCCUAGAAUAGAAAUAUAUAAUAGGGAGAUGGUAAUAAAGGAGUUUUUCUGGCA